Molecule: transfer RNA, 76 nt
Filed under: Metabacillus litoralis
Lineage: Bacteria; Bacillati; Bacillota; Bacilli; Caryophanales; Bacillaceae
Description: Bacillus litoralis tRNA-Gln
Rfam family: tRNA
About the family: Transfer RNA (tRNA) molecules are approximately 80 nucleotides in length.
Source: RNAcentral
AGGGCUAUAAGCCAAGCGGUAAGGCAUCUUACUUUGACAGCGACAUGCGUUGGUUCAAAUUCAGCUAGCCCAGCCA